CCCUUCCCCCAAUACAACCCCCCCCUUUUUGUGAAUCACUGUGAUCCUCUUAACUCUGAAGCAAACCCAAACCCUAGGUUCUCCCUGCAACGGAUCUGCCGCAGUGCCGCCGCCGCCCGUGCUGUCGGCACCUCCGCGGCUUCCUCCUUCCAGCUGUGCCGAGCCCAGGCCCUCUCUUGUAGCUCGGUGUCUUCCUUCCCCCUGUUCCCGUCCUCUGUGGCUUCUCUGUUCGAGGCUUGGAGUAGCUCGCCGCCGUGUUGCCGCUCGUCGCCGUCUCUCCGGUCGUCGUCCGUGUCUCAGUCGAAGAAAGAUGUUGGUCGUUCCAAGUUUUCAAAGUCCCUUUCUGUACCUGGGAGAAAUUUUGUUAUUGUAAGAUCCAUCUCCUUUUCUACCCGUAGUAAACAGGAUCAGCAAGAUACAAAUGAUGAUAUAUUCCCUCUAAGGCCUCACUAAAGUCAUAUAUAUUUUAGGCAACUACUCAAAUAAAACAAAGUACACUUUUAACAUAAGAAUCUUUAUGUACUUCCAGUUUCGUAGUCCUACUUUCUGUUUUUAAAUUCACAGUGAAGAAAUCUAAUCCAUUUUCCAAGCUUUA
This is a long non-coding RNA of Arachis stenosperma, 595 nucleotides long. RefSeq lists it as uncharacterized. The record is from RefSeq and is a predicted model, not a curated record. Lineage: Eukaryota; Viridiplantae; Streptophyta; Magnoliopsida; Fabales; Fabaceae. The transcript has 2 exons.